Molecule: ribosomal RNA, 461 nt
Filed under: uncultured bacterium
Lineage: Bacteria
Description: bacterial SSU rRNA
Rfam family: Bacterial small subunit ribosomal RNA
Source: RNAcentral
AACGAACGCUGGCGGCAGGCUUAACACAUGCAAGUCGAACGCCACCUUCGGGUGGAGUGGCAGACGGGUGAGUAACGCGUGGGAACGUACCUUUUGGUUCGGAAUAUUCUCGGGAAACUGAGAGCAAUACCGGAUAAGCCCUUCGGGGGAAAGAUUUAUCGCCGAAAGAUCGGCCCGCGUUAGAUUAGGUAGUUGGUAGGGUAAUGGCCUACCAAGCCUACGAUCUAUAGCUGGUCUGAGAGGAUGAUCAGCCACAUUGGGACUGAGACACGGCCCAAACUCCUACGGGAGGCAGCAGUGGGGAAUAUUGGACAAUGGGCGAAAGCCUGAUCCAGCCAUGCCGCGUGAAUGAUGAAGCCUUAGGGUUGUAAAAUUCUUUCAACGGGGACGAUAAUGACGGUACCCGUAGAAGAAGCCCCGGCUAAACUUCGUGCCAGCAGCCGCGGUAAAAAGUCACGUCG